AGUGAACGCUGGCGGUAGGCCUAACACAUGCCAGUCGAACGGCAGCACAGUAAGAGCUCGCUCUUACGGGUGGCGAGUGGCGGACGGGUGAGGAAUACAUCGGAAUCUACUUUUUCGUGGGGGAUAACGUAGGGAAACUUACGCUAAUACCGCAUACGACCUACGGGUGAAAGCAGGGGAUCUUCGGACCUUGCGCGAUUGAAUGAGCCGAUGUCGGAUUAGCUAGUUGGCGGGGUAAAGGCCCACCAAGGCGACGAUCCGUAGCUGGUCUGAGAGGAUGAUCAGCCACACUGGAACUGAGACACGGUCCAGACUCCUACGGGAGGCAGCAGUGGGGAAUAUUGGACAAUGGGCGCAAGCCUGAUCCAGCCAUACCGCGUGGGUGAAGAAGGCCUUCGGGUUGUAAAGCCCUUUUGUUGGGAAAGAAAAGCAGCAGGUUAAUACCCCGCUGUUCUGACGGUACCCAAAGAAUAAGCACCGGCUAACUUCGUG
RNAcentral lists this ribosomal RNA (492 nucleotides) under uncultured bacterium. RNAcentral's name for it is "partial 16S ribosomal RNA". It matches the Rfam family "Bacterial small subunit ribosomal RNA", at positions 29 to 507 of the family's 1533-position model. The record is from RNAcentral.